Molecule: ribosomal RNA, 431 nt
Filed under: uncultured bacterium
Lineage: Bacteria
Description: partial 16S ribosomal RNA
Rfam family: Bacterial small subunit ribosomal RNA
Source: RNAcentral
AACGAACGCUGGCGGCAGGCUUAACACAUGCAAGUCGAGCGCCCCGCAAGGGGAGCGGCAGACGGGUGAGUAACGCGUGGGAACGUACCUUUUGGUUCGGAACAACUCCGGGAAACUGGAGCUAAUACCGGAUAAGCCCUAACGGGGAAAGAUUUAUCGCCGAAAGAUCGGCCCGCGUCUGAUUAGCUAGUUGGUGAGGUAACGGCUCACCAAGGCGACGAUCAGUAGCUGGUCUGAGAGGAUGAUCAGCCACACUGGGACUGAGACACGGCCCAGACUCCUACGGGAGGCAGCAGUGGGGAAUAUUGGACAAUGGGCGCAAGCCUGAUCCAGCCAUGUCGCGUGAGUGAUGAAGGCCUUAGGGUUGUAAAGCUCUUUUGUCCGGGAAGAUAAUGACUGUACCGGAAGAAUAAGCCCCGGCUAACUUCGUG